AAGGAAGGAGAGGGGGUUGUAGCUGGCCUUUUAUCGGCACGUGCACGCUCUCUUUCUCGACCUAGGCCUUAUGGGSSSSGGGGSAACCSSSGYYUYCWWAASCCCYUCSUGGWAAAAGKYYAAKAAWGGUUUUUACUAUCAUCGAGUYGCGACUUCUAGGAGACGCGGUUCUUUGAGACAAAAGUUUAUUACAACUUUCAGCAAUGGAUCUCUUGGCUCUCGCAUCGAUGAAGAACGCAGCGAAUCGCGAUAUGUAAUGUGAAUUGCAGAUCUACAGUGAAUCAUCGAAUCUUUGAACGCACCUUGCGCUUAUCGGUGUUCCGAUGAGCAUGCCUGUUUGAGCGUCUUUAAAUUCUCAACCCCUCUCGAUUCGUUUCGAGAGGGAGCUUGGAUUGUGGAGGCUGCCGGAGACCUGUUUUUCAGGACUCGGGCUCCUCUGAAAUGUAUUGGCUUGCGGUCGACUUUCGACCAUGCAUGACAAGGCCUUUGGCGUGAUAAUGAUCGCCGCUCGCCGAAGUGCAUGAAUGAAUGGUCUCGUGCCUCUAAUCAGUCGACGCCUUUUCGAAGGUCGUCUUCCUUAUCGACGUUUGACCUCAAAUCAGGUAGGACUACCCGCUGAACUUAAGCAUAUCAAUAAGC
RNAcentral lists this ribosomal RNA (639 nucleotides) under uncultured fungus. Its description in RNAcentral is "eukaryotic LSU rRNA". The stretch from base 193 to 347 matches the Rfam family "5.8S ribosomal RNA". Lineage: Eukaryota; Fungi. The record is from RNAcentral.